RNAcentral lists this unclassified non-coding RNA (345 nucleotides) under uncultured bacterium. Its description in RNAcentral is "contains 16S-23S intergenic spacer region". The record is from RNAcentral.
AAUCCGAGAAUUUCACCUCUGACAAUUAAAUACGAAUGCCCCCAACUGUCCCUCUCAAUCAUUACUUCGGCCCCAGAAACCAACAAAAUAGGACCGAGGUCCUCUUCCAUUAUUCCAUGCUAAUGUAUUCAGGCCAGAGCCUGCCUUGAACACUCUAAUUUUUUCAAAGUAAACGUCCCGAACUACCCGACCACUGCAGUGAAGAGCAGUCGGGGCUUUCGAGAGGAAGGGCGGCUGACCAGUACUCGUCUCGCGACGGACCAGACAGGCCGCCCCGAAAUCCAACUACGAGCUUUUUAACUGCAACAACUUUAAUAUACGCUAUUGGAGCUGGAAUUACCGCUU